Molecule: long non-coding RNA, 766 nt
Organism: Choloepus didactylus (southern two-toed sloth)
Lineage: Eukaryota; Metazoa; Chordata; Mammalia; Pilosa; Megalonychidae
Exons: 3
Source: RefSeq, a predicted model, not a curated record
CCCGAACUGGGGCGGACAGAUUGACCCGGUUAGGCAGUCACGGUCCCUUGAUCUGAAAAGAUAUGUAAAUCCCGUUCCUGUGCCUCCUUCUGAUGCCACCAGAGAUCCUUGGCUUGUGCCCUUUCCCCCACUCCUGCGGAGCCUCCAAUUCCACCACCACCCCCAUCACUCACGUGUCCAGCUCAUCUACAGGGGUGCCUGAUCCACCCAGGCCACAGUAGCAGCCGUAGUUGUUGUAAUCCAGCAAGGGUGCGCUGUCGGGGAUCUUGCACUUGAUCAUGCUUCGGAACUGCCACAACGCCCGCGAGUUGACGUUGCUGGUGGCAGCGCCCGCUGCAAAGAGACUUACAGCUAGAGUUCGAAUGGAUCCUGGUUGGCCCUGCCAGCAAGAGUUCCGUGGAUUCCCUGCCUGCCCGCUCUCCCAGGCCCCCUGAUGCCCCCUGAUGCCCCCUGGAUCCCGGAGGAGGAGAGCUGGCCACAAGGAACCUGAUAAAGAGGGAAAUCAGCUGGCAUGUAGUGAUGGACAGCCAGCGGGGAUGGAGGCUCCCGGGCCAGUAGCCCACAUGGAGCUGAAUCAGGCUAACCGCUGCUCAAGUGAGUUUAGAAGCCGGUCCUCCCGCCGUCAAGCCUUCAGAUGAGACCCCAGCACCAGCCAACACCUUGAUUGCAGCCUCAUGGGAGACCCUGAGCCAGAGCAACCAGCUCAACUGGACCCUGGUUCCUAAUCCACAGAGACUGUGAGAUAAUAAAAUGUUUGUUGUUUUAA